RNAcentral lists this microRNA precursor (63 nucleotides) under Octopus vulgaris (common octopus). RNAcentral describes it as "Ovu-Mir-12549_pre stem-loop". RNAcentral also lists the same sequence under 1 other name. Lineage: Eukaryota; Metazoa; Mollusca; Cephalopoda; Octopoda; Octopodidae. The record is from RNAcentral.
UUUUCCCGAAGUUGCGAAUCUGCAAUUAGAAUAUUACAGAGAUUUGCCACUUCGUGAGAAUUG